GCUAUUGUUUUUGUUUGCAAAGUCGUUCUAUAUUAAGAAAUAAGUAGAUUAUUCCAGUUCUUGACUAUUUUGUUUUUCUAUAUUAAAAGGUGAGUGGAUUACCUUGCUUUUUAGGUGUUAUUUUGUAUUAAGAAUUGAGUGAAUUACCCCGCUUCUUGAGUAUUGUUUUGUGUUGAAAAGUGAGUGGACUAUCCCACUUUGUGUCACAGACACAGAAUACAGACUUGAUAUCUACCAAGAAGUUCAAGAAGAACUGGCAAGAACUAGAUUAAUCAGAUGAAUACAAGAACAACACUAGAGAGGUGAACUAGAGCUCCAAGAGAUGUG
RNAcentral lists this long non-coding RNA (327 nucleotides) under Physcomitrium patens. RNAcentral describes it as "long non-coding RNA (PPAT_LNC011077)". The record is from RNAcentral. Lineage: Eukaryota; Viridiplantae; Streptophyta; Bryopsida; Funariales; Funariaceae.